RNAcentral lists this ribosomal RNA (207 nucleotides) under uncultured bacterium. RNAcentral's name for it is "partial 16S ribosomal RNA". It matches the Rfam family "Bacterial small subunit ribosomal RNA", at positions 568 to 774 of the family's 1533-position model. The record is from RNAcentral.
CUCGUAGGUGGUCAACUAAGUCGGACGUGAAAUCCCUCGGCUUAACCGGGGAACUGCGUCCGAUACUGGAUGACUUGAGUUCGGGAGAGGGAUGCGGAAUUCCAGGUGUAGCGGUGAAAUGCGUAGAUAUCUGGAGGAACACCGGUGGCGAAGGCGGCAUCCUGGACCGACACUGACGCUGAGGAGCGAAAGCCAGGGGAGCAAACG